UCAGGCCUAACACAUGCAAGUCGAGCGAGAAAACUCCUUCGGGAGUGAGUAGAGCGGCGGACGGGUGAGUAACGCGUAGGAAUCUACCCAGUGGUGGGGGACAACAUGUGGAAACGCAUGCUAAUACCGCAUACGCCCUACGGGGGAAAGCGGGGGACCUUCGGGCCUCGCGCCAUUGGAUGAGCCUGCGUAAGAUUAGCUAGUUGGUGGGGUAAAAGCCUACCAAGGCGACGAUCUUUAGCUGGUCUGAGAGGAUGAUCAGCCACACUGGGACUGAGACACGGCCCAGACUCCUACGGGAGGCAGCAGUGGGGAAUAUUGGACAAUGGGGGCAACCCUGAUCCAGCCAUGCCGCGUGUGUGAAGAAGGCCUUAGGGUUGUAAAGCACUUUCAAUUGGGAAGAAAAGCUGAUGCUUAAUACGUAUCAGCCCUGACAUUACCUUUAGAAGAAGCACCGGCUAACUCCGUGCCAGCAGCCGCGGUAAUACGGAGGGUGCGAGCGUUAAUCGGAAUUACUGGGCGUAAAGCGCGCGUAGGCGGUUAUUUAAGUCAGCUGUGAAAGCCCCGGGCUCAACCUGGGAACUGCAGUUGAUACUGGAUGACUAGAGUACGAGAGAGGGAGGUAGAAUUCCACGUGUAGCGGUGAAAUGCGUAGAUAUGUGGAGGAAUACCAGUGGCGAAGGCGGCCUCCUGGCUCGAU
Molecule: ribosomal RNA, 700 nt
Filed under: uncultured Gammaproteobacteria bacterium
Lineage: Bacteria; Pseudomonadati; Pseudomonadota; Gammaproteobacteria
Description: bacterial SSU rRNA
Rfam family: Bacterial small subunit ribosomal RNA
Source: RNAcentral